GUAGUCAUAUGCUUGUCUCAAAGAUUAAGCCAUGCAUGUCUAAGUAUAAGCAAUUAUACCGUGAAACUGCGAAUGGCUCAUUAAAUCAGUUAUCGUUUAUUUGAUAGUACCUUACUACUUGGAUAACCGUGGUGAUUCUAGAGCUAAUACAUGCUGAAAACCCCAACUUCGGAAGGGGUGUAUUUAUUAGAUAAAAAACCAAUGCCCUUCGGGGCUCCUUGGUGAUUCAUAAUAACUUCUCAGAUCGCAUGGCCUUGCGCCGGCGACGGUUCAUUCAAAUUUCUGCCCUAUCAACUUUCGAUGGUAAGGUAUUGGCUUACCAUGGUUUCAACGGGUAACGGGGAAUUAGGGUUCGAUUCCGGAGAGGGAGCCUGAGAAACGGCUACCACAUCCAAGGAAGGCAGCAGGCGCGCAAAUUACCCAAUCCCGACACGGGGAGGUAGUGACAAUAAAUACUGAUACAGGGCUCUUUUGGGUUUUGUAAUUGGAAUGAGUACAAUUUAAACCUCUUAACGAGGAACAAUUGGAGGACAAGUCUGGUGCCAGCAGCC
Molecule: ribosomal RNA, 551 nt
Filed under: uncultured eukaryote
Lineage: Eukaryota
Description: SSU rRNA
Rfam family: Eukaryotic small subunit ribosomal RNA
Source: RNAcentral